This 253-nucleotide ribosomal RNA is filed under the name uncultured bacterium. Its description in RNAcentral is "partial 16S ribosomal RNA". It matches the Rfam family "Bacterial small subunit ribosomal RNA", at positions 524 to 776 of the family's 1533-position model. The record is from RNAcentral.
UACGUAGGGUGCAAGCGUUGUCCGGAAUUAUUGGGCGUAAAGAGCUCGUAGGCGGUCAGUCGCGUCUGCUGUGAAAACUCGGGGCUUAACUCCGGGCCUGCAGUGGGUACGGGCUGACUAGAGUGCGGUAGGGGAGACUGGAAUUCCUGGUGUAGCGGUGAAAUGCGCAGAUAUCAGGAGGAACACCGGUGGCGAAGGCGGGUCUCUGGGCCUUACCUGACGCUGAGGAGCGAAAGCGUGGGGAGCGAACAGG